This 411-nucleotide ribosomal RNA is filed under the name uncultured Nitratireductor sp. RNAcentral describes it as "bacterial SSU rRNA". It matches the Rfam family "Bacterial small subunit ribosomal RNA", at positions 56 to 515 of the family's 1533-position model. Lineage: Bacteria; Pseudomonadati; Pseudomonadota; Alphaproteobacteria; Hyphomicrobiales; Phyllobacteriaceae. The record is from RNAcentral.
UGCAGUCGAGCGCCCCCGCAAGGGGGAGCGGCGGACGGGUGAGUAACGCGUGGGAAUUUUCCUCAAGGUACGGAACAACUCAGGGAAACUUGGGCUAAUACCGUAUGAUGUCUAGCGACCAAAGAUUUAUCGCCUUGGGAUAAGCCCGCGUCAGAUUAGGUAGUUGGUGGGGUAACGGCCUACCAAGCCUGCGAUCUGUAGCUGGUCUGAGAGGACGAUCAGCCACACUGGGACUGAGACACGGCCCACACUCCUACGGGAGGCAGCAGUGGGGAAUCUUGCGCAAUGGGCGAAAGCCUGACGCAGCCAUGCCGCGUGAAUGAUGAAGGUCUUAGGAUUGUAAAGUUCUUUCGCCCGUGACGAUGAUGACGGUAACGGGAGAAGAAGCCCCGGCUAACUUCGUGCCCCACC